RNAcentral lists this ribosomal RNA (464 nucleotides) under uncultured bacterium. Its description in RNAcentral is "bacterial SSU rRNA". It matches the Rfam family "Bacterial small subunit ribosomal RNA", at positions 338 to 795 of the family's 1533-position model. The record is from RNAcentral.
CCUACGGGAUGCAGCAGUGGGGAAUAUUGCACAAUGGGCGCAAGCCUGAUGCAGCCAUGCCGCGUGUAUGAAGAAGGCCUUCGGGUUGUAAAGUACUUUCAGCGGGAGGAAGGUGUUGUGGCUAAUAACCACAACAAUUGACGUUACCCGCAGAAGAAGCACCGGCUAACUCCGUGCCAGCAGCCGCGGUAAUACGGGGGGUGCAAGCGUUAAUCGGAAUUACUGGGCGUAAAGCGCACGCAGGCGGUCUGUCAAGUCGGAUGUGAAAUCCCCGGGCUCAACCUGGGAACUGCAUUCGAAACUGGCAGGCUAGAGUCUUGUAGAGGGGGGUAGAAUUCCAGGUGUAGCGGUGAAAUGCGUAGAGAUCUGGAGGAAUACCGGUGGCGAAGGCGGCCCCCUGAACAAAGACUGACGCUCAGGUGCGAAAGCGUGGGGAGCAAACAGGAUUAGAUACCCUGGUAGUC